GGGCUCGCUCGGGAGGACGGGGCCGCGAUUUCUGUGGCCUUCGAGAGAGACACAGCUUGGGUGCUUAUGAACCAUACAUCAUUGUCAAGCGAGAAGAUUAAACUUAUUGUUUCUUUCUUGAACCGGCAACUCAAGUGGCUCUGAUUUCGGGAAAUUUCCACCUCCCCUUUCCUGCAGGUAUGUGAGCCCGAGAUAGAUGACUCAGAACCGAGACUCCUGCGGGCAGUGGGGCUUGCUGUCGGGGGAGGCACAGGUCCCCUAAUCAAAGCUGCCUGCCCGGAGCGGCGAAGCGGCUUCUGCAAACUCAAGCGUGCACAGACGCCGCGCCUGGCUCUCGGAGUUCGGAUCCCGGUGUCCCUUUGAUCCCUCCGUCCUCAAGACUAACAGCCACCAAGGUGCGUCCUUGCACCAGACUCGGAUGGAUUUCAUUUUUCCGCGAGCACUCGGGCAGGCCCUCGGAGGUGACCCCUUGCGGAUCUAAGCGGCAGAGUUUCAGGCGUGGCCGGGGACAAACGCUCCGAGAACGCGGGCCCAUGUGUUUCAUCAGAACCCGCCGCGGUUGGGCUGGGGGGAGUCAGACAUGCUGCCUAAUGAGCGGAGAUCAGCCCGCGCGGGGAGACCUCUGAUGUGCAACACCAGGCGCCCGCAAACCAGGCCCCCGCCCCGCCCGCUCCCCUGAACGUAGACAAAUAAACCCGGCGGGCACCCGGCUCAAAGGCAGCUCGGUGGCCACCGCGCCUGGCAGUGAACGGUCAUCGCCGCCCCCGGGCUCUUUGAAGCUGUUUAAAUUCUUCGGAACACAGCCGUCUCCUGUGCCCCCCACAAGCCCCAACCCCGAGCGAGGACAAUCAAAGUCCAGCGGGCUGGAAAAACAGCACAGGGCAGAAGCUAGGCGCGGGCUAAACGGCGGCACAGGAAGCUUUUCCUCCUUGUAUGUUGCUGUUCCUGGUGAUCAGAGUUCUGGGUUUGGCGCUAAUUAAGAAAAGCCAGUGGGGACUCCCUCCCCGGCCUUAUGGCAUGGAACGCGGCCUCGGAGGAGGAUGGGCCCGAAAUCGCCCCAAGAUUUAAAUAAUUAAUAUGACACCUUGAGCUCCAAAUGGGGGAAAAGUAAAGAAAAAACAGGGAGGCCAGUGUUGGCGGUUUCAACAAUGCCCGGGCCAGUUUGAUGCCAUUUGUUCUGGGGCUGGGGGGUUGGGGGGAUGACGGCUCGGCUCUUUGUCAUGCUAAGGGAUCCCUUUGUGGGCCCCGGGGUCCCCGGCCCCCCUCCGAAGGAGGCUCGGAGGAGAGGGAGUGUGCAUCCCCAAGCUGGAGGAUGGUCAUUUAAUGGUGUUUAAUCCUCUUAAUCCGGGCGAUCGGCCGGCUGCAAAGAUGGUCCCAGAAGCCCCACAGAGCCAGCGCCUGGCAGGGCAGAGCGGGCUGGGAGGGGGACCCAGAGACGCUCCAGGAGCGUCCUGUUUGCCACAUGGCCUUGUGCUCAGUUCCUCUGCCCUGUGCCCGGAGCCGUCUGACCACAGGCGAGUAGGAUGCAGUUGAAAUCAGCUGCAAAUCCCAUGCCCU
Molecule: long non-coding RNA, 1557 nt
Organism: Dama dama (fallow deer)
Lineage: Eukaryota; Metazoa; Chordata; Mammalia; Artiodactyla; Cervidae
Exons: 4
Source: RefSeq, a predicted model, not a curated record